GAUGAACGCUGGCGGCGUGCCUAAUACAUGCAAGUCGAGCGAACAGAUGAGGAGCUUGCUCCUCUGACGUUAGCGGCGGACGGGUGAGUAACACGUGGAUAACCUACCUAUAAGACUGGGAUAACUUCGGGAAACCGGAGCUAAUACCGGAUAAUAUAUUGAACCGCAUGGUUCAAUAGUGAAAGACGGUUUUGCUGUCACUUAUAGAUGGAUCCGCGCGGCAUUAGCUAGUUGGUAAGGUAACGGCUUACCAAGGCAACGAUGCGUAGCCGACCUGAGAGGGUGAUCGGCCGCACUGGAACUGAGACACGGUCCAGAGUACUACGGGAGGCAGCAGUAGGGAAUGUUCCGCAAUGGGCGAGAGCCUGACGGAGCAACGGCGCGCGAGUGAUGAAGGUCUUCGGAUCGGAAAACUCUGUUAUUAGGGAAGAACAAAUGUGUAAGUAACUAUGCAGGUCGUGACGGUACCGAAUCAGAAAGCAACGGCUAACUACGUG
Molecule: ribosomal RNA, 497 nt
Filed under: uncultured bacterium
Lineage: Bacteria
Description: partial 16S ribosomal RNA
Rfam family: Bacterial small subunit ribosomal RNA
Source: RNAcentral